Long non-coding RNA from Hippoglossus stenolepis (Pacific halibut), 1207 nucleotides. RefSeq lists it as uncharacterized. The transcript has 3 exons. The record is from RefSeq and is a predicted model, not a curated record. NCBI's taxonomy places the organism in Eukaryota, Metazoa, Chordata, Actinopteri, Pleuronectiformes, Pleuronectidae.
UGGGGAGAUACUAGAACAACAAUUGGAGGAUAGUAAUUUAAUAUGUAUUAACGACGGGAGAGGGACAAGGAUAGAUGUACACACAGGUAACACUUCAGCACUGGAUUUGACACUGGUAUCAAGUGAGGUGGCAUGGACAUGUGAGUGGGAAGUAUGGGAAGACUCAACAAUUGGAAGUGACCACUACCUUAUAUUCAGUAAUAUACACAUAGGCUGGGAAGUAGAAGAAAGAGAAGUCAAAUCUGUUAGAUGAGAAAAGAAGGAAGCGUGAAUCCUUCAGUAUUAUAACCAGAAGAGGAAGGACGGACUUUAAUCGAUGAUUCACAGCCCAAAACUCAAACUCUCUGAGUCUGAUUAUCAGGAGAAGACGUUUAAAAGAACAAGUCUGGUGAUAUUUUAUAUAUUUUUCUUCUUGUUGAUAUAAACAUAUUGUGUGUGCAUCCACAGCCUGACACAUCUCAUGUGUUUGUGCCAUAGAGCUCCAUCCGCCGCUGGAAAUAGUCCCCAACAAAUGCACUGUUUCCUCCUGUGAGCGGCUGUUUCAGGAAGCUCCACUCCACAGGACAACGUGCUGAGUUUCACGUUAUAACGUGAUACAGAUCUUCCCAUUCUAGAGUCAAGAAAACUGUGAUUCAUACAAUUUAGAUCAAACACACUAGUGGAAACAUCACUAGGAUUAUUUUAUAUUUAAUUCAAAAGAUGGAUCCUUUCACCUGAGUCUUACACACUGCAGCUUUAAAUGGUCUGUGAGCAACUCUCAUAUCUACUGUAAAGAGAGAGAGGAGGAGCCUGAGAACAGGGAAGUGUCAGACUCCAUUUUCACUGGGAUGAGCAGAAGGAAGAAAAGUGAGCAGACUGAAGAUGAGUGGUUAUGAGGAGGAAGAGGAGGACAGAGCAGAGUCUCCAGUGUUCAGCUGUUUGUCUCUGAAGAGUGACCGGUCCAUGGAUCCUCCUCUAACCUUCAGUAAUGAACCUGGACCCUCACACACAAAAGGUCAGGACCACAGACUGAGAGCAGAGUCUCCAGGGUCCAGCUGUGUGUCUCUGAAGAGUGACUGGUCCAUGGAUCCUCCUCUAAAAUUCAGAAAUGAACCUGGACCCUCACACACAGAGUAAGAGACUGUUUCUACUGUGACCUGCUCUGAAGAGGAUUUAGUUUCCUCUAGUGUGGCCCCUGCAUUAGGACACAGCUUCAUUGAAGUUGGUG